RNAcentral lists this ribosomal RNA (552 nucleotides) under Penicillium ovatum. RNAcentral's name for it is "partial 18S ribosomal RNA". The stretch from base 69 to 497 matches the Rfam family "Group I catalytic intron". From Rfam's summary of the family: Group I catalytic introns are large self-splicing ribozymes. The record is from RNAcentral. Lineage: Eukaryota; Fungi; Ascomycota; Eurotiomycetes; Eurotiales; Aspergillaceae.
GGCUCAGGAGGGUUGGCAACGACCCCCCAGAGCCGGAAAGUUGGUCAAACUCGGUCAUUUAGAGGAAGUAAAAGUCGUAACAAGGUUUCCGCUCAUAAGUCUUGCGCCUGGAACAAAUGAUUCCUUCCGCAGUGUACACUUAUCGAAGCCUUUGCAGCCACGCAAGUGGUAGACCCGGCACGACUCAAAACAAGGCCUAGUCGCGAUGCAAGUCGGCAACCGCCGGCGACACUUUCGAAUUGACGGGGACACCCUAAAGCCGAUCGCACCAACCCGCGGUGGGAAACCACCCGGGGGCCCGUGAUAACUACACGGGGUACGGUAAGAGACGAUCUGGAUACCUCUCUGGCGCCCGCCGGAGAAACCAUGGGCAAUCCGCAGCGAAGCCUCUACGUCCCCCCGCGGGGGAUACGAGGAACGUCCACAGACUAAGUGAAAGUGGGUGGGGGGCAUGCCCCCUGCUUAAGAUAUAGUCGGGCCCUCUGGGAGACCGGAGGGGUGAGUACACUGCUCCCAAACCGUUCCGUAGGUGAACCUGCGGAAGGAUCAUUA